RNAcentral lists this ribosomal RNA (356 nucleotides) under uncultured Helicobacter sp. Its description in RNAcentral is "bacterial SSU rRNA". It matches the Rfam family "Bacterial small subunit ribosomal RNA", at positions 82 to 450 of the family's 1533-position model. The record is from RNAcentral. Lineage: Bacteria; Pseudomonadati; Campylobacterota; Epsilonproteobacteria; Campylobacterales; Helicobacteraceae.
ACGCGAUUCAUCGGUCUUUCACGGGUCGAGUAACGCAUACAUAACAUGCCCUUUAGCUUCUGGGAUAGCCACUACAAAUGGUGAUUAAUACCAAAUACUACCCUACGGGGGAAAGAUUUAUCGCUAAAGGAUUGGUCUAUGUCCUAUCAGCUUGUUGGUGAGGUAAAGGCUCACCAAGGCGAUGACGGGUAUCCGGCCUGAGAGGGUGAACGGACACACUGGAACUGAGACACGGUCCAGACUCCUACGGGAGGCAGCAGUAGGGAAUAUUGCUCAAUGGGCUUUUGCCUGAAGCAGCAACGCCGCGUGGAGGAUGAAGGUCUUAGGAUUGUAAACUCCUUUUGUCAGAGAAGAUC